UGCUGGUUCUGCUCUCCAGGGCUCCCUGUCCCCUGCAGGUCCCAGCCAUCUCAAGGUGUGCUGCUUCCAGGACACAAAGCUGGGGAGGAGCUGGCAAGUGCUGCUGCAGGAGCUGAUGGCCACAACCACAACUCUUUUAAUUGUACCCUGUUUUACCAACAUGCAGUUUUACCAAGAUAUCCCAAAAGCCCACGAGCCAUGCUGACUAAAGUGCACUGUGUUCACAUGCAGAAAUCUGUUCUACAGACUGUGGUUUACAGCUCAAUACACCAACAGGUUCUUUCUCACUAUCUGGAGGUAUCCAAAUCUGCUCCUAUUUUGUUAUCCUACUGAUUUAAUUCAGUGGAGUGUGCAGAAAGUGGUUCUGUCAACACUAACUGUGGAGUUACACACAAUAGUCAUAUUUUUUAUUCUGACUCCCUGGAUUUAUUUACAUGUUGUUACGGGGUGGUUUUUUGUUUUUUGGUUUUUGUUUUUUUUUUUUACAGUGCUAUAUUACAACUUUUAGCACAUAACUAUCCCUAAUGAGCAGACAUUUUAUUUGAAAUUUACUGCAGAUUAAAUUUAUAGAUUGAGAGCAUAAAGGCACAAAGGACUUGUAGGAAUUUUAGCCUUAAAGUUAAUAUGUCUUACCAGAUGGCAGGAAUUUUAGACAGACUGUGAAAUAAAUAGGAAGUUCACACUUCCUGAUAUAAACAGGGCAUGAAAACAUGCAAUCCAACAGAGUGUAUAAUAACCAAUGAAGAAUAAAGAGAAAACUCUCAAGGGCUAGAAAAUAUGUGGUGUCCAACUAUGCCUGAGAUUGGGAUGUAAGUACCCUCCUUACAGCAAGGCAGGAAUCCACUUACGGAACCGCCUGUGAGACUGACCUAACCUCCUCCUGCUGUGCCCACCCUGCAGAGCCUCUUUGGGGUGUCCUGUCCAAACCAGGCCAGGUCUGGUGACAUCAUGAAAUGGGAGAUGCCCAUCAGCUCCUCUUUAGCCACGACAGAGCUUUGGCCACCUGUCUGUCCUAUGCUUGAGAAGGUAUUCAGGAUGUUGACGGAGUAGAGUGGGACUUACCUGCUAAAACUUGGCAACGCAGGCUCGCCUGUUCUCCAUGGGAGAGUGCAGCCCUCCGUGCUUGACUGGCUGAGGACCAUUUUCCUCUGGCUCCAACAGGAAAACCAGCACAGGUGACCUCCCUGGCAGCAGCAUAGGUGACCUCCCUGGCUGGUUUCAGGUUCCUGAUUUGUUUAGUCAGCUCCAAUGCCUUGGUACUUUCUCAGACUGCUGCCAAGGCUGUACAUGGUUUGUUUGUAUCGUCGGCCUCUGCGGGACCAGGCUCUGCUCCACACCUCUGAUACCAGGUCUGAGCAGCUUGCUCCUUCCCUUGUCACUAAACUAAACUUGAUGACACAGUGCCCAGUAAUUUUUUUGUUUGCUUGCUUGCUCUUUUCUCAGCAAAAAUGGUACCCAACUGGCUGUGUUAUCAAGUGCAACUAUCCUGCACUGCUGGACACAUGCCAGGGAUGCAGAAGCAGAUUUCACAGGGAUUGUGGUUCACUCUGCUGUUGUCUUUUCCACAGUCCAGAAAUUCCACAAGGCUUGAAAAUUAAGGGCUACCAGAAGUUAUCUCUCUGGCAUCUCACAAAACUGAGAUCCUUCAGCUGCACCAGGCAGAGAGAUGCCCUUGAUGUCUGAAUGACUGCUUAAUGGUGCUCUCUGCAUCCCCUGUCUCCAUUUCUGUGCCCUCCUUGUUUCAAGAGACAUACAAACCUCUCUGUUGUCAUUGGGUUCCAAAGGUCACAAUUCAUCUGUCGAUAUAAAUUGAGUGUAGCUUUGUUGAAAUUGGUGAUUGUGGUUCCCAGCUCUUUUGCAUGAUGGCUAAUCAAUUGCAGUAUUGUAAAAGAAGGUAGAUUAAGCUACCAAGUCUGUAUCAGAUUAUCAGAUCACAGUUGUGCCUGGUGUGAGAGGCAGGCAACAAACCAUCAGACCCACCAGAACUGCACAUAUGAAUUAUGCAACUCUUGUGUGAGUUGUCACGUCUGUGAGCACGGGCACCGUGAGACAACAGCCCUGUGGUAGCAACAGACAGCUGAGGGAAGGAAGAUCUUCUUUGUGUGUGCACUGCUAAAUAAUUCAAAGACAAGAUAAACAGCACCUAUAGAUGCAUCUUUUCUUAAUUUCACAGUAUUGAGUCAAGAUACUCUAAGUCAGAUAUGGGCAUUUCAGAUCCUUUUAGGCACCCAUCAAGCCACCAGUUACUAAAAGAUAAGGGAGAUAAGACAAAUUCUAUACAUCAGUUGUUUUCUGUUAUUGAGCUUUACAUACGUUAGUUUUUCUUUCAGAAUUCCAAGAGUAAGGAAAUGAUAUUGUAUAUUUCUUGCAAAGUUAACCUUUGAUAGUGAUAUUGAGUCAACACAUUGUAUUCACACCUUAAGGACCAUUGUAAUUCCAGGAGCUGGGAGAUGAGAAGGCAGUAAAUAAUAGUAUACAGGGUAAGCUCUUUUUCAUUUUUAAUGGGAAAAUAUUUCAACCAUGGUGAUGCAGUUGACAAAUAUUUGGUUUAGCAUAAAAGAAAAAGGAGUCAAAAAGAGACUGAAAUGCAUAGUCAUAUAGGAAAUAAAAAACCUAAUCAAUAAGUAGUCACAAAAACAGUGAAAAACUUAUCAUAUAGUGUUCUUAAAUUAAAAUGUAGAACGUGCACAUGUAUCCCCCAAUCUGCUCGAUAUUGUUUCUAGAGAAUAAAUAAUCUGUAGAUUUGUUGGGGUAACACAAUUUGCUAUUUCCUGGAAUAAUUGCCCACAAACAUGAUCUUGACCCCUGUGUUAAAGUAAUGAACUCCUGCCUGUGUAUGGAGGGUGAUCCCAGGGACGGAUGGUUACAGAAACGUUGGAUUUGGAUAUUAGACACACAUGUCCCUAGCAGGAGUUGUGGUUUUUCUCCUCAUGUGGAUUAAAAACCUACUGACAGCCUUCAGAGUUGCUAAUUUAGGCCUUUCUGAUUACAAGUUCCAGGCAAUUCCAUGUUUUGCUUCAUCGUAUAAUUCUAGGAAUGGUGGUUUUCUGAGAAAAACAAGCUCAUAAGGCUUUGGAACUCUCUCUCUCUCAUGGUUUCUGUGCAUGCAGAAUUGGCAAACCAGCACAGAACAUAAUAAGAAUGAAGUUCAAUCUGUAGUAGUUUUACACUCUAUGUUUUUAAGUCUGCAAUCAUUUUUCUGAAAACAUAUGAACAGAAAUCCUUGUAAAGCUCUUUUCUGUACAAUUUUCAGCCAUAACUAUAGUAGCACAAGCAAAAGCUUGUUAGCUUCAGUCACGUUUUUUCUUAUGAAUUUUAAAAACCAUGGUGCUGGUCUUCCAGAGACAUCCAUUUGCACAUAGAUCUCAUUGAAGGCCUGGGACCUGCAUUUAAUAUGAUUCCAUUCUGUAUCUAAUUACACUCCCAUUUCACAUUAAAUGAAGGUGGUAAGUUGGUUCAAGGUCAGCAAUUUAUUUAUUAAUAAUAAUAUUUGUAAAUAUCCUCAAAAUCCAAUUCAAUAGGAAUUUGAGGACCUCAAAAAUGCAAAGAUCUGGAGAGUUUAUACCCUGAAAAAUUGCCUGGUAUCAUGAAUGUUGAGGUAUGAAAUUGUAUCUGUACUGUAAGAACCUGCAGUUAUUUGCAGUGUAGUAAUUUUUGCCCCCUGUAUGACCAUACCUUUUAAAUUCAAGUGUCUGAUAAUACAGAUGAGCAAAAUCAAACAGACAGGUAGUUCAAACAGAAUCUGUAGAGAGGACAGCAGUAACAUGUAGAUCUUUUUGAAAAUAUUCAAUCUAUAGAACUGGGAUUUUAAAGAGAGAGACUGGAAAAAUAAUCAGGCUCAUCUGAUAUGCAGAGGAAAAAAUGUCAACCUGAGGGUAGCAUCUUCUAGAACAAAAUCUACAUAUCCAGAGAACUUCCUUGAACUGAAACAAGCUGCAAGAUGGGCUCAUUUCUUAAAAUAUUAAUAGUAAACUUGGGUGAGACAUUCUUAUUAUGCUUUCACUGAUGCAAACUCAUUAAAUUGCAAUGAUAAUAAAUCUUGAGAGAUUAAAUUUAUAACAGAAUAUCGGAUGGUUGUUUCUGGGUUUUCUAAGACCCUGAGAGUGGUUUGGCAUGCAGCUGAACCAUCAUUUCUCUUUGCUGACAGCCCGGUUUUCAUUCCCAGGCUUUGUGCUGCUGUGCACCAAAUGACACUGUCCAGUUGGGGGUAUUUUUAGUCUGCUCUGUAGCAGAUGCAGGCUGGCACAUCCCUGCCCACUCCAGUGAUGUGGGUCACAUUCCCAGCAGGAGCCACACCAAGAGAGGAGGAAGGAAGCCACUUGCAGAAAUGGGAGUGGUGCACAGCCCAAGCCUCAGAGCUGUGCUUUAGUGGGUCAGCUGCCAAGAGCUGCGUGUGAGAAGUGCUUUAAAGCUGUCUUUGCUUCCCUUCAGGGACUCGACUUGCAAUUGAAAUAUCACACGUGGGGAAUUUGCCAGAGCUUUGAAUUAAUAUGCACGUGACCAGAACAGUUAAAGUCACCUCCUGUUUGGUGCUGAGAUUCCUCAUCCUCACAUGUGUAUUCUGUUCACUGCAGCAGUGACGGACGUCUGGAGAAAACCCCAUUUCCCAGGCUGGUGGAGUCACCUUAUGAAAACGAGACCAGGACAGCUGGAUCACAGACCUGCAAACCAGGCAAGGAAUCUUGCUCUUAUAAUUCAGGGUAAAUAUGCAAAUUAGGAAGCCACUAUUUGGUCAAUUGAAUUGCAUCUCAGGCUUGCUGCAACCUGUUUGUGGUUUCAGUAGAAUGAAAGAAGAGGAUCACUGCAAAACACAACUCACCACAGAAAUGUUGUGCAGUGUGGGGACAGAAUUUGUUCACCUAGUGCACACACAGCCUCAUGGUUUGUUUCCAAUGGAAGCCACCAGCAGAUAAUUUGGAGGAAAGAAGACCCAUAGGUAAAAAAUAAUCUGCUGUAUGCAUUAGAUCUCAGUCUUAAAUCUGUUUGUAUGGCAAAAACAUGAAGCGUUACAUUUUCAUAUACUUCCCACAAGUUUUUAGUCAAAGAAAUUACUGCUUUCCAGUCCCACAGAUAACAAUUUAGCCACUGAAACUCUUCUGAAUCUUGUGAAACUGUUGGUCUCAAUGAUUUUUCUUAAGAAUUAGGUUUUAUAAUAUAAUUACAUGUUUAUGUUAUUAUUGUUAUUUUUUCCCUUUCACAACAAAUUUUUCUUUGUUCCUGUUACAAGACAGCAAGGACUGAGGUUCAAGAUCUACCUUUUCUGUAACAUGCUGCAAUUUUGUUGUUGUUGUUGUUGUUUUUUGGGGGUUUUUUUUGUGUGUGUAUUUUUUGGGGUUUUUUUGUUUGUUUCAUUUUUGUUGGGUUUUUUUUUCUUUUUGUCAAGGCCUUUCAUGCCUGAUUCAUUUUUAAGGUAAAAACCAAACAUCUUUCACUUUGCCCUUCCCCUUGCCCAGGUAAUUCUUCUCACCCUUUUAUUAAUUUCACCUGUUCCUAAGGUAUCCUUUAUUGAGAUUGUUGCCACUUGUAUCAUUACAUUUCCUUCUAUAUGUAAAUACUGAUUUAUCUAACAUUCUUCAACUUCUUAAUUAUCAUUUCUUAUGCACACCAAUAUUUUGUUUACUUGUUUUGACCACAGCUAAACAUGACCUCAGUCUGCUCUCUAAGUUGGGACCAUUUAUAAGAAAGAAUCAUACAAGUAACUCCUCUUCUUCCCUUCCAUAGAUCAACACUUUGUACAUAACAAAUUUGAUUUUUGUGUGCCAUCAGCCUGCCCAGGUGAUGCUACCCAGCUGGGUCUUUUGAAAUUCUUUCUAGGCCUCUCCAACCCUCACAUAAAUAACCUGUUAUCUACAGAUUUUGCUGCUCCCUUGUCAAAUUUUGCUUUUUUCCAAAUCAGUGAUAAAUAGACUAAAUCACAGAGCUAUUAUUUUAUUUAGUACAAUUGCUAGUAUAAUUCCAAUCUAAAAAAUCUCUAGUUUGACAAUUUUAUCUCUCUGAAAUUUAGCCUGUUUCCUACUUGUGUUUUAAACUUCAGUAGCCAUUACCUUUGUAGAAUGGCAAGUAAUUAAAACAUGUUUAAAGCUCA
Passer domesticus (house sparrow) is the source of this 6085-nucleotide long non-coding RNA. RefSeq lists it as uncharacterized. The record is from RefSeq and is a predicted model, not a curated record. The transcript is spliced from 4 exons. NCBI's taxonomy places the organism in Eukaryota, Metazoa, Chordata, Aves, Passeriformes, Passeridae.